GAUGAACGCUGGCGGCGUGCUUAACACAUGCAAGUCGAGCGAAGCACCUUGACGGAUUUCUUCGGAAUGAAGUUUUGGUGACUGAGCGGCGGACGGGUGAGUAACGCGUGGGUAACCUGCCUCAUACAGGGGGAUAACAGUUGGAAACGGCUGCUAAUACCGCAUAAGCGCACAGUACCGCAUGGUACGGUGUGAAAAACUCCGGUGGUAUGAGAUGGACCCGCGUCUGAUUAGGUAGUUGGUGGGGUAACGGCCUACCAAGCCGACGAUCAGUAGCCGACCUGAGAGGGUGACCGG
RNAcentral lists this ribosomal RNA (297 nucleotides) under uncultured bacterium. RNAcentral describes it as "partial 16S ribosomal RNA". It matches the Rfam family "Bacterial small subunit ribosomal RNA", at positions 28 to 307 of the family's 1533-position model. The record is from RNAcentral.